GUGUGGAAAUUUUGGAAAAGCUAGGAGGCGUUUGACAAGUGAUUGGAGUGCCACUCAAGCACUACCACUCACAAAGUACAGAUCAUUGUACGUAGGUCACUCUGAAAGUAAUUUCUCCUAUUUAUUUCUCAAACUACAACAGACACAGAGAGCAUGAUAAUACUAUUCGAUAGAGCAAAUUCUCACCUACACACCUACACUAUUUUUCAACGUAGUCACCACUAUUAGCUGUGCAUUUUCGUCAGCAACGAACAGGAGCCUGCAUGCUAUGCUCAUAAAAAUCUGCACAAGCAGAGGUGACUGAUUGUUUUGUAGUGGCUAUGAUGGUGCCAUUGCUAGGAAAAUGUUGCCCAUGCAGUCCAAGUUUCACCAUCCUGAAUACAUGGAAGUCAGAAGGCAAUAAAUCCAGACUCUAUGGUGGGUGUGGUGGGGCAGUCCAGCCAAAACUGGCAAUGUGCUCCACAGUCUGCUAACUGGUAUGAGGCCUGGUGUUACCAUGUUGCAAGAGAAAGGUUGUCUUUCUCUCUUUCCUGACUCUAGAAAUUCAAGCCUUCAACUCAGACAGUGCUGUGAUGUAGUUGAUGGUUUGCCUGGGUUCCAGGGAAGCCAGAACGAUCACCCCUUUCCUAACCCAAAAGACAGUGCACAUCACUUUAUGCACUGAGAGCUGCAUCUUGAACUUUUUUUGAUGAGGAAUUUUCAUCACCACUUCAUGGACUGCUGUUUUGAAUCCACUCUGUAGUGGUGACACUACAUCUCAUCACAAGUAAUGAUGCAAUCCAGGAAACUGCCCCAGCCUUGUGUUUCUUCAAUAGGUGCAAAUGAUGUUCUUUCUGUUCCUAUUUGAUCAUUUGUGGGACCCAUGUGGCACAAGCUUAGCAGUAUUUCAGCAUUACUGCCAUCAUUUCCAGUGCACUGAAGCUCCAUACACAGUUCCCUGGUUGUAAUAGCCUGAUUCACACAGAGGAGCUGAUUGAGACGCUUUGCAUAGCUGUCUGGAACAUGGCUUAUAUUUCAUGUCACUGUCCACUGCUGAAACGGACCACCCACCACCUCACUGUGCUCAUGUCCACUGUCGGGUCUCCAAAAGCAUUCAGCAACUGUCAGUGAAGGUAAAUGGGCAUCAGUUUUCCCAGGUGGAUGAAUUCGUCUGCACUUCCAUGUCAGAUGGCAUUUUGUCAGACUGCUCCUCUGCUGCCAUCUGUCACACGGCAACAAAAUGCACUGGAAUAUAGGUGGGAAGGUUCAACCUCUACUGCCAUAACACCAGCAUCCACCAACAUAAUAAAAAGGAGUUCAAAUAAAUGAACAUCAUGUAGGGCAGUUUAUCUGCCUUGUUGCUUCGAAGGCUGGAGCUUCCUUUCCUGCCCCUCAAAUGUGUCUCUAUGGUCACAUGAUGUGCUUUGUUAUUAAAAGCAACAGUGGCUAUAUGUAUUUCCUGCGUAGCUAUAUGUAAUAGCUAAUGCUCUUUAAUUGGAUAUGGACUUUACGGAGGAAUAUCUACUGUGGUAUUCUGCCUUGAAGGACCUCAGACACGAAACAGCACUUCUGUAUGACAGAGGGAAAGCACUCAGGCAAGCACCAUUAAUCUACCAAAAAGUACUGUGAAUGGUGAAGCGAACUUCAGAAAUUAUACAGUUGGUUCUACAACUCUGUCUCUGGAAAGUUAGCCAAAAUAGAACAAAGUGACAGUUUGCACCUUCAGGUGUACAGGGUCUCCUGCGUAGCAACUCGUUACCCUUGAAGAGUUGUUGCAGAACGCAUGAGGAGUUGAGAGAAGUCUCUGAGAGGCUGGAAGACAGCAUGGACAUGCAAGUUGGGAUGAAAACCACAUCCUGAACUCCCAAAAAAAGAAAGUUGAGAAAGCUACAAGGAAGCUCCUUUCAUCUGUAGAUCCUUUGAGGAGAUUUGUACUGUGUGUACUCACACAGUGCAUGUUGAACAGACAACUAAGAUGCCAGCUCUAAAAAUGUUCCUUCCUAUUCUGUAUCAUUAAGCUAUUGCUAAAUAAUCUAGUAAUUCUCCUGAAAUAUGGCAUGCAGUACAGGAAAGCAAGCUCUCAAAGUCCCUUGUUAUCAUUUCACCAAAGCUCAGAAAAGAGCCCCCAAGGAAGCAGGAUGCCUGAGCUCUGACCCUGCUGGAGCAGAGUGGAGAGACUGAGCAGUGGUUGAGUCACCCCAUUUGAAAACAAAUCUAUAUCUAAUUAGUGAAUCCUUGCAAUAGCCCUGGGAGGUAUAUAAAUAUUGCUGCUCUGUUUUACAGGAAACUGAGAUGGAAGGGGAUGAAUUCUUCUGUGUUAUAAAAAAUGCCAUUAACCAGUUAAAUGAAGGCAAAUUAGCUACUGAUGUGCUUUGAUUGUGCCUUAUAAAGCACAACUUACACCCCACCUGAUUACAAUUUCAGCUUACAUGCUCAUAUUACAGAGUAUUUUUUGUAUUUACUUUUUUUAACCAGUAUUUACCUUUUUUUUGAUCCAGUUCUUUACAUUUUGUUAACUUUCACAGCCUACUAACAGUGGGAGUGUUCUCCGAUCAAAGGAAAAUCACUGACUUGCUGGUAACUAGGUAUCCAUUCACUCCUAAUUCCAGGGAAGUAUGUAAUGCAAGAUGAAAUAAAUAGCAUCUCAACAUAGCACAGCAGAACAAGCAAGGUGCAAAUCUAGGUACACUGGUAAUGUUUAUGAGUGGAGGAUGGAGGGAGUUUUCCUUGUCUCCUUGUGGAGCUGAAAAUAAAAACAAUAUCAAUACAAUAAGUAACGUGGAGGAAAAUUUUUGUGCUCUGAAUAAUAUUGGACUCAUCGGUCUCUUCUUGGUUGAUUGUGAAUUUGGCUGAUCAACUUACUGAGUGAUCAUUUGAGCAUUUUAAAAUAUAUUUCUUUUAGCAAGCAAAAUAAUAUUAUCUGUUGGUGAUUCUGUAAUCAGAUUUGAUAAGAACCACAACACUUUGCUGUUAAGAUGACAGUGCUGCAUAUAUAAUCAUACGAGAAUACCAUGUGUUUCUUGCCACUGCUCAGUCCAGAACACCAUAUUUUCUUGCACUCUCUGCCUUCAUUAUUUAGUAAAAAGAAUUUUUUUCCUUUGAGUGGAUUUCACUUGAAUAUAACCAGAAGACUCACAACUGAUUUUGAACAUCUUGAAGGAACGUAUUAGGCAAAUAAAGUGCACUUUGGGGUUUCCAUAUUGCUGAGUUGAAAGGAAGACAUUUUCAAAUUGGUACAUGCUUGGGAAUGCUAAUGAGCAGUCUUGGAUAUAUGUCUAAAGAGAGAAGUUAGAAUGCUAGUGGGUAGUCAUCUUCUGCAGGCUGUCUGCCUAACACUAGAUAAAAAAAAUAUUUUGAUUGAAAAAGCUUCUUCCUCUGUACAGGGUUUUUCUCUUCCUUUUCCUUUUUAUUUUUAUUUUUUUAAUUUUCCUUUAGUUAAAAAACAAACAAACAAACAAAAAUUUUAAUCUUCCUUGCCCCUUUUUUUUUUCCUUUGAACUAGUAAUUGGGAAAUAACCCCACAUAUUUUUAAAUAUUCGUAUAUAUAUCUGAUACCAUUGACGUUUCCUCCCAUGCAUAUGGUCCAGUCUGUCUUAUUACUUUUUCUAUCUUUAAGAUAAAGACCUUUAAGACCUGAUGACAGCUCAUCACCACUAGUAAAUCCCUGAGCUUUACUAGUGUUAUGCUGGAGGUUCUUCCAGGCCUGAAGUACUCUAUAUAUUUGCCUCCCUCAAAAUGAUGCUAUCAACCUGUAAGACAAAGAACAUCCUAAGAUGCCAAUUGGAAAAGCCUAAAUGUUUACUGGCAAUAUGUCUCUUUUAGAACCUUUAUAGGUGAAUUAUAUGCAGAUAUAUAGAUAGAGGUUUUAUUGAUGCAUCUAUAUAAUCAAUGUUAUGAAAAGAUAGGGUCCAAAUAUCAGACUGUAAGAGAAAAAAAAAAUGAAGAUGUCAGCAUGGAAAAAAUGAUAGGAAGAUUUAAAAAUAUUUAUAAAACAGGAAAGAGAGGAUUAAUUAAGAGCAUGGAGAUUUUCCAUUAUCUUUAUUAAAGGAGUUUAUAUUGAUCCAACAUUGGGAAAAAUAUAAAUGGACAAAAAAAAAAACCAAAAAAAAACUGCUGAGUGAACAAUGAAAUUAUAGUUUCUUAGUUCUGGACCAUCAAAAAGAAAAACCGGUAUCAUCCAAGGUUAAAAGUGACGUAAAACUCCUAAGUGGCCAUAACUGUCCAAACAGGAAGGAAUGAUGGAGUAGUUCAAUUACACCGAACAUAAAUUAAAUACAUUUGUCAACGAAUUCUAAUGGCAAGAUACAGUGACUUUUAUGCAAGUGAAGUCUCCAGAAGUAACUUUUCAUAUAGAUUGACUAGAAGUUUGAGCAGUAUUCAUUAUGUGGAGGAAUCUUUCAGAAGGCAGUAUCACCUUGUAGUUUUCCUACAAUAGGCAUCGUAAUGAGAACCAUCCAUUCUUUUAAAUAGAGCACCCAUACUUUGCUUUCAACAAAAUGGUUAUCUCAUUAUUUUACACGAAUUGUUUCCAAACUUUAUUUCUUUGUAUAAAAAAAUAUAUAUCUGUUAUAUAUUAUGUAGUUGAAUAUGAUUUUACCAUUAGAGAUCUAUACAUCUGGUAUUGCCUUCCUGAAAUCUGUUUUAGUCAUAAUAUAAAUGGUCAUGUUAAACAGUCUUUUGAAAAUGAUCAUGGUAAUGCAUCUAACUUUAUUGAAGUUGUCUUAUGAAGUUAAAAUUAUUUGCUAGUCUCUUUUCAGCCCAGAAAACAAGUUUCUUCUGUAAUCAUUCCAUUACUUUUUAAAAGAGAUCUGACAAGCAUAAACAUUCUCCUUAUCAAACUCCUGAUUGAGAACUGAACUUCUGCACUGCCAGAUAGCCGCUUAUCUUCAACCAACAUAGCAUUCUAAAAAUGUAGCUGGUUGCAGUUAUUAAAAAUUACAUCUGCUGAAGUCUCAGCCCACAGAAUACACCAUAUUUUAUUACAAGACUAUGUCUUCUAGAAAGAUACUUCCUAGUUUAGGAACUGCUGUAUCACUGUUCAACUGUGAGAGUGUACAGGGUAUUGCAUACACCCACAUACAUAUCCAGGACCUCUUACCUAACUACAUUGUUUUUGUAACAUGAUUCUUCUGGUGACUGAAGAAAAGAGACAAUGAGAAUAAAGAAUGCAAAGGUAGAAAGUGUUGCUCUUGAAUUACAAACUAUCAUAGGAUUUCACAGGAAUAAUCUUUUAAAAUCGAGUUAUUGUAGCCUUAGUGCUCCAGUAGUGUUAAUGUGGUUUUAAAGUGUCAAAUACUCAAUUUAAAGGCAUCAAAUAUAAUGUAUUUGCAUCACUAAUUCAUGAUAACUACAGCUAAAACGGGAGACUUUAAGUUCUAAGUCAUAAGCAUCAGGAAUUACAUUUAGGAACAGUAGAAAGUUCAGAUUUCACCCCCUUCAAAGGUCAAAAAGAAAUAAAUAAAAUAAGACACAGCCCUGAACUUUUAUUAAAGCCAGAUCUUGCCUUUUUAUGGUAUUUUUACCUGAGAUCUGUACAAACAUUAAUAACACUAAGUUCUGUAAGCCUUUCAGUCUCCAUUUAACAGAUAGAAGAAGAGGAAUAGAAAAAGUUACUGUCUAAACUCCCAGUGGUACUACUUAGAUGCUACUAAGACAGCACUGCUUUGUUUGAAGUAUUACAGAAUAGCCCAAAUUCCCAAUAAAUUUAACAGAAAAGAUUAAUAAGCCAUUACUAAUGGAGGCAGAUCUGAAGUUACUGAAGAUGCACCCUUAGAAAUUAACCGUCAUGUGCAGUCCCUCACUGGCAAUAGGAGUGGGACUAGAAAGUUCUAUUUGAAUUUUUGUCUUAGAAUUCACACUGAGGAAUGAUUCAGCAUGUAACAAACAUUGGAACAGAUAGCGUACUCUCUGUAUAUACAAAGUAAAGAUUGAUUUGCAGUUUGGAUUUAGUUUGCUUAGUGCAAAAAUCAACUUAACCCAGAUUAUUCUGAAUAGUCAGCCUCUUUAAAGCCAAGCCAAAUUAGACUAACCUAGACAGCAGGUUAAGUCCAACAGCUUGUAUUGGCACUUUGUAAAAUGUCAGCGCAUUAAUUCCGCUCCUUAACUUAUAUACAGAGCUCUCUUAAAAACAUAUUUUUAUCUAGAUCAAUAAUGUACCUGAUAGAAAAAAACAACGACAAAAAACAAAACAAAACAAAACAAAAAAACCCACAUAUGUCUGUACCUUGCAACAGAAUACGCUGUAGGUACACUUCAGUUGUGUCAGAGCACAUAUAUACAUGUGAGUACAAAUGUAAGAAACACCAACUGCAUCAGAUGGAUGGCCUAUCUAGCCUAGUAUUCUGUCUGGCACAGGUAAAAUUACUUAGGAAGAAUAUGCAAACCCUACCAUUUCCACUGGUGGUCUCCCAGAACUCAAAAUAAUUCAGCGGGUGAUGCUAGAAGGUAUAUGUGUGAGUAUCCUGCUUUAGUUUCUGUUUAUGGAUAUUUGGCCAUGAAUUUACCAAAUUCUUUCAUGAACUUUAUGAGGGAACUGGGAUUGUUUGGACUGGAGAAGAGGAGGCUCAAGGAAGACCUUAUUGCUCUUUACAACUGCUUGAAAGGAGGUUGUGAUGAGGUGGGGUUGGCCUCUUCUCCCACAUAAGUAGCAAUACAACUAAAGAGAACAACCUCAAGUUGCACCGGGGAAGAUUCAGAUUGGAUAUUAAGAAAAAUGUCAUCUAAAGAGUGGUCAGGUGCUGGAAUGGGCUGCCCAGGGAGGUAGUGGAGUCAUCAUCCCUGGAGGUGUUCAAGAAAUGUUUAGACGUUGAACAAAGAGUCAUGGUUUAGUGGGGAAAUGGUGAUGGUAGGUGAACAGUUGAGUUAAAUAAUCUCAGAGGCCUUCUUCAACCUUGGACAUAAAUUACCCGAAAAGGUAAUUUCUUUUAUUUACCAGAUCCCAGUGUAAUGCAGAUAAUUUAUCAGAUCCCAGUUUAAUGCAGAUAAUUCCCUCAGUAUUUCCAUAGCCUCCCUCAACAUUCUCAUGAGUUUCAAAUAAGAGAUCAGGAGCACCUUAAGAAUGGUAGAUAGGCCAAAGUGCUAGUGGUGUAUAUUUUAUUGAAGCAUUGGCUUUAAUGUCAGUUUACCAGUUCAUUUUUCCCAAAGCUGUUUUUCACUAGAGUAUAAUAAUUUUGAUCUCUUCAUACUGUCACGGCUUCUUGGUGAAUCUUGAAAAUAUCACAAGGCUAAAUGAGAUCUUAGUUUACCUUUAAAUAGAUUCAAGCAUCUCUAAGACAAAUGUUGUUUAAAUGUGGAGCAGAAAAGGUCUCUGGAAAAAAUAUUUGGAUCUCUGCUGAAGCCACAGCAAGGUUUUCCAUUUCUCCAUUAAUUCAGUAUUCAAGUGCCAGAUUGAAAAUGACUCUUGCUUUCCCUCACAAGGACUACUUUAAAAUGAAAAUGACACUAAAGUACAAGGCAGUAAUUUAUCUCAGGGUGUCUGCUACAUUUUAAUCCUAUUUAUGUCUCUCUUUUCUCCUAUUUACACCAUUCUUCAGUGGCUUUCAUAUGUUUCCCUAAGGUUGUUCACAUCAUGAAAUUUCUGUGGUCUACAUGCAGGGCAAAAGUAUUCAAAGGUAGAUGAAUGUGGAAACCAGAAGUGUUGUCUAUCUUACCUGACAUGCCUCAUGACUAUAGCAUUUAUAGAAGUUCAGCUAUAUCAACCAUACUUGGGAGUAAUAUCAUAGAAUUAGUACAGUGUAGCUCUUUCACAAUCUUGAGAAGUAGUGGACUGUUCCUCAGCUCACAGCAGCACCUGUUGUAAAUAAAAUAGGAUCCUACUGAAGUACUGAAAUUUUAACAAUGUCUUAAUCUGUAGAGAAGAAUGCCCCUUUCCAGCACAAAGAGUAUAGAAACCCAAAUGUAAGUGGAGGAGAGAGCCUGUGGAAUAUGAUGUUGCAAGUUUUCCUCUUGAAACCCUCAGGAACUGUCUACCAUUCAGGCAAGCGUGUAAAUCCUUUCAUCUACAUAGCUUCAGUAGCCUCACUACCAUCUUAGUCUUCAAAACAGAAGUGAACAAAACAGGUCUUCAAAACAGAUCCACCUAUACACGUAUGAACAACACAAAUGAGCCAAAUCCUGUUGGAAGUUGUAGAUUUUCAGGACUUGACAUGAUGGUGCAAAACUUGUUAAUUCCUUACAUUUUUUUUCUCAUGAAUGACAUGAAAAUUUCUCUUACAUACUGCAGUUCUAAAAGAGUGCAAUACUUCUGAGAAGAGAAAGAACAGUUCUUCAGAUUUCUAGCUACUAGAAAAAUUGGAGAGGAAAGAUGCCAUUUUCUAUGAGAAAAGAAGGAUCAAAUCAUCAUUUCCACCAUUCCACAGGGGAAAUGGAAAAGUACAACAUCAGUGAAGCAUUCAUUCUGUACUGAACCACAAUUUGUUUUGCCAAACACUGUGCAGAACUUGAAACUCAAAAGCUGGAAAAACCAGUGCCCAGCACAUGCCUCCCUCCAAAUCUUAUAAGGAUAUUAUGAUAAAUUCAAUGUGGAAGUGCCAUUCUCAGUACUUUUUUGAGUAGGAAAAUUCCCAGAGGGAAAAGAAUAUAUAUAUAAGAAUAUAUGUAUACAGUGAGAGUCAGAUUAGAAAUCUUGUUGUCAGAAGGCAGGACAGAGAUUUCAGAUUGAUCUAGUGAAGGCUAGAGAGUUUCUCUGAGUUAAAGCUAAGGGAGAAAAAAAAAAAAAACAAGAAGAGAAAAAGCACACUAAAUUUACAUGGAGCUGUAGGAUGUAAAUCCAACCUACUUCAAUAGUUUUUGUAGACAGUCAUUUGGAAGAGGGAUGCUAUAGCCAAGAAUGCUUUAGUUUUGUGGGGGGAAAAAAAAAAAAAAAAAAAAGAGCAGCGUUGUUGUUGUUUCAGUUUGCAGUUGUUCUUAUUGUUUGUUUCGUUACCUUAACUCAGCACCAUGAUUGCUUCUAAAGAAAGAAAAUACGUUGGAAAAUCAUAUAAAAGCCACGUUGAUCUGGUCUGUUGUGCUUUCUUUAAAGGGACAGCUCCAUACUUGUUUGCUUUUUCUCCUGCUUCAUAAAUAUAUGAUGAUUUAAAAUGUGCAAUAUGAGGACAUUAAUAAGAAUUAUGUGUAGGAUAGAAGGGGGCAACAGGAGGCAGACCUCGCUGUGUAGAAACUGCUGAGUCUUAGGAAUACUUAGGGCCAUAUUUCUUUUCUGCUGUCACAGGUAACUGCUUGGAACUGUUCUCUCCUGAGGGUGCACAUAAGGCUGGCUUCAUUCUUUACUUACAAUCUAUAGCUAGAUAAGCUGGUAAAGGAAGUGAACCAAUUUUCAGUUAAUGACACUAAAACAAGACUGAGCCAAAAACAUAAAAGUUGUGCUUAGUCUUGAAUUUUUAUAAAAUUGAUUCAGAUAGUCUGACCUAAGCAUUGCUAUUAACAUAGCUGAAUUCAAGGAGCAUAUAUUCAAAGCAAACUUUGAUAUUGAAACUAAAUUAAAAUUGAUUUUGUAAUGGGAAAGCCUUGCAUUCCCUCCUUAGUUAAAAAUCUCACUUCAUACUAAGUAGUCUGGGUUUGACAAGUCAAGGAAAUAAAAUCAGUUAUUUGGGAUGGCAGGCAAGAUCAUCAUGAAGGAGAACUGUGUGGACACAAGAUUAUUGAUAACAAUAAAAAAAUGUAUCACACACAACAUACCAUUCUUUCCUUUGCAGUUGUGCCAUUGCUAGGCAACUGAAAAUGGAUGAGUAGAUUUUAGCUGUAUAUCUAUACCCUUCAUUUGGAGAAUCAUGAAAGGGACUUCUGAAAAACAAACAUCAUGUUUCUGAUCAGGAUCCAAUAUGGCUUUACUGCUACUGAGGACUAGAAAAUGUAUUAUUUCCAAUACUAUAAAUUUUGUUGAUAAACAUCACAGUAUACUUGUAAGACUUUUAAAACAAUGCAGCUUUCUGUUUAGUAACAGAAUAUUUUCUUAAGCAGAUUUUUAUGCUCUCAUUUUUUAUUCACCAUAUUGUAGUAUACAAGUUGUGUAUCCUAUACUUCAUGAAAUCACCAUUGGUGAGUAGAGAGCAUAGUUACUCAGCACUUAAGUUAAAAGUACUCAUAAAAUUUACUUCAGUUGGGACUGUUUGUAUUUCUAACAGGUGGUAACUCUUUUUGCUUAAGUAGGUAACUUAAUGACUUCUCUGUCAUUUAAGAUCUACUGCCAUUCAACACUCAUUACCUUUAAUACAUGCUUUAGCAAACAUUUAACUUCUUAGUUUUAACACUGUUGCAACAGUAAGGGAAGAAUGACUGCUACCAUAACGUUGGCAGUGGUUGAUAAUUUACACUUCCUCUAUAGCCUACUACCCCUUAAUAAAUAAAUAAAUAAAAAUAAAAGAAAGAAAUAAAGAGAGAAAUAAAAAAAAAAAAAAGGAAAGAGAAAGGAAAAAAAAAUCCACUCCCUUGAUAAUUAGUACCCUUUGUCAAAGCUUCAGUUACAAUUUGACGAGAAAAUAUUCCUAAAUGUCAAGAACCAUGCAGUCUGAUAAAUAUGGAUGACAUUUAAAAAGCAGAGGAGGUAGUUCUACAGAAGCAGAAGAAGCAAAAAGAAAUGCAAUAUGUAUUUACGGAAAGAAACAGUUUUUCCACCAUGUAUUCUCCUCAUAUAUUGACUGUUUUGUACUCCUGGUUCUUCUUUUCAAGAGCACUGUGAAGCUUUUGUCUCAUAUCAAAUGCCUUAGCUGCAUUUCUUCAUUAUAAAACAGCACAUUUCAACAGCCCAGGUCUUUCCACUUGUAAUCACUCAGUAUAAUUGAUUGAGAAGAUAGAGUCAGAGAAUCCUCCAAAUAUUUUAAUUCUUCAGAGUUGUUUAAAUUUAGCAAAAAAUGACACCCUGAGAAAAUGAAAUGGCACGUACUCAGAAAUUGCUAACUGUGAUAUAGAUCAAUCACAGCCCUUGGUGAUUACUCUUUAAACAAGUCUGUCUCACAAGCAGAUUCAAAGGAAUUGACCUUCUGAAUGUUAACAAACAGAAGGCAAGAUUCUCCACUUCUGACAACUUUAAAAUCUCUCUUGUUGGAAAAUCUGAAAGACAAAGCGUUUUUAGCAGGUGGAAUUAGAGAACUACGUUCUCCAUAUUUACCACUCUAGGGGUACAGGUAUUUUCAUUACUAAAGCCUUUGUUGGAACAAGACUCAUUAAGAAAGCUAUAAAAGAAUGGAAUAUUAUCGUGUAAUGAACACCUAAUUGAAAACUAAUGUGCAAUGAGAAAGAAAUAAACUUUGUGACGAUAGGAUUAGAAAUGUGUCUGACUACAAUGGCAGUAUUUGUAAGAUAGGAUGACAUGAAUUCAUCAUCUUCACUUCCAGAUCUAACAACCUCUCUGAUCUGAGAGCAUCAAGAAUGUAAAUGCAGUUAAACAACAAUUCCCCAUCUUAAACAACCAGCACUGAGAUUGUGCAGGUACUCCACCACUGUACUACUAUAGUUGCUUGGGUUUACUUGGGCAAUGGUAGUAGAAAAAAACAUAUCCUAUCCACUGUGUUAACUGUGAAGUAGAUGAACCAUACUUCCGGCUGGGUGUCUGAACUCUGUGAGGUUCCCUACUCUCUGAGCUACUCAACUAAGGCUACUUUUCUCAAACUUCUCAAACUGAACAAAAACCAUCCUGUAACACUGCGAAAAUGUGGUGGGAAAUUUUUCCCUGAAUCAAUUUCAUGAAGUUCCUAACUAUGUUUGACGUGUUUGUGAGGAUAAGAUUUAAAAAAAUACAUUUAUUUCAUAGUUAAUUUGAAUAUCAAACAAUGUAAAAUAAAUCUUGCUCAAAUUAC
RNAcentral lists this long non-coding RNA (11771 nucleotides) under Gallus gallus (chicken). RNAcentral describes it as "lncRNA (ENSGALG00010014845.1)". Lineage: Eukaryota; Metazoa; Chordata; Aves; Galliformes; Phasianidae. The record is from RNAcentral.